GUUUCAGGUGCCAUGGAUAAGAUGAAGGUGCCUGUUCCAGCGAAUAUGGGCACUGCAGCAGAACUAACAACGGACUAUUGUGAAUCUCAGGUCGUGAUAAGUAUUCACUCACAGAUGUUCAAGAAGUAGGAGUGAAGGACCCCGAACCGUCUCGGACUAUUCUUCUUAUUCUCCUGUUCAGUUCUUCUGCUAUUCCAGCUUGGGAGGGGGGGGUAUUAACUGAAAUGCAAGUAGCAAGCUACUACUUUGGACUGACUGGAAUUUCUGUUCUGAAGCAAUUUAUUAGAACUUCUGUUGCCUUUAAAUUUCUGGUUUGCCGUGAGAGGCAAUAGCCAUAAUUUGUUUGGCACUUCUUUUGUGCAAAUCCCAUUGAGAUGUGCAGUAGCUUCUGGAGGUCAAAAGCACAUGAUCUUUUCACAGUUCCCAUUCAUUUCAAUGGAGCUUGCAUGAGAGAGGGGCAAGUGGCUGGUGGCUGGUGGCUGGCGGAUACAAAAGUCUGGAGCAUUUGGAAGGGCACAGCAGCUUUCACCACCACCCAGCAGAAACUGGCCUGGUAAAAAUGUAGCCUGCCUUGAUUUGAGUCAGCCGAUCUUUCUUCCUCUCAUGCUGGGAUUCGAGUGGGGGCAACCCACCCUGCCAUCCUUGUGUCAAGCAAAUUGCCAUCCUUGUGUCAAGCAAACUGCCUCUUCUAGUGGGCUCCUGAUAAAUUCUUCUCCUUCAAUAAAUCCCUACCUCCUUCGCA
Eublepharis macularius is the source of this 742-nucleotide long non-coding RNA. RefSeq lists it as uncharacterized. The transcript has 2 exons. NCBI's taxonomy places the organism in Eukaryota, Metazoa, Chordata, Lepidosauria, Squamata, Eublepharidae. The record is from RefSeq and is a predicted model, not a curated record.